Ictidomys tridecemlineatus (thirteen-lined ground squirrel) is the source of this 4995-nucleotide long non-coding RNA. RefSeq lists it as uncharacterized. NCBI's taxonomy places the organism in Eukaryota, Metazoa, Chordata, Mammalia, Rodentia, Sciuridae. The record is from RefSeq and is a predicted model, not a curated record.
UUUCCUCCUUUUUCUUCACAAAAAAAGCACACAUUGGCAAGAAAGCUCUACUGGAAGCUUUAUAAUCAAUAAACCUGUUGUUUGUUGAAGGAUUACAUCUCUAAACUUGCAUGUUAAGCAGGGACUACUUCUUGGACUAUUCAUUAACUGGAAAGCUCAUUCCUCUUUUUCCCUCUGUGAUUAUGCCUUGGUACGUCUCCAGAGCUCGCCUGGUUUAUGUUCUUCAGGUUUUCUCAGAGGCAUCACACAAAUGUGUCCAAGUUGUCAGGAAUUCAGAGAUAAGGGUUUAUCAAAUGGACUGACCAGUGAUGGAGUGGGUGGCUCAGAGAUAUUUCAAACAGGCUACAAGAAUCCCCCAGUGAAGUCCUACCACAAAUUCAUUGUUGAUCAUGGAUUCGACCUUCAGCAUGCAGAGAGGAAAUACAGAGUUCAAAGCAAGGUGUAUAGCAUGGGCUCUGGAGCUGCUGGCUUAGUUUCAUGUCCAGAUCUCUUCAUGGCAACCUUGACUAACAACCCUGUGUUCCUAUCUCCUCCUAUGUAGAAUGGAGAAAUGAGAGCAUUUAUCUCACUAUGUUAUCAAGGCUCAAUGAGGGGUAUGAUGGGAUGAGGUAACACGUAAAUCCCAAUAGUCCAAUACUUACUAUAAUAAAUAAUAAAUGUUAAAAAUGUUAUUACCAUUUUAAACAUUUUUCAUUUCAUUUUGUCCUCAGAGAAUCAUGUGAAACAGGUAUUGUUAUUCCACUUUACAGAUCAUAAAAAUGAAGAAUCAGAGAAAUUGAGUUGAUGUCUCAUAUCUGUUUAAUUCCAGUUCUGUUUGGUUACAGAACCCUUUCUUAUGGUUUGGAUAUGAGGUAUCCCCCCAAAGCUCCUAUGUUAUAAAGAAGGAAAGUUGGGAUAUGAAAUGACUGGAUUGUGAGCACUGUGGCCUGAUCAGUCCAUUCCAGUUUAAAUGGACUGACCACAUAGUAACUUUAGGCAGGUGGAGCAUGGCUGGAGGUGUGCAGCUUCCCCAUGGCUCCCUCCCUGUGCCAUCUCCCUGCUUUCUGAUUGCCAUUAAUGGACCAGUGCUCUCUUCCAUGUCCUUCUACCAUCAUGUUCUGCCAUACCUUGGGCCCACAGUAAUAGACUUGGUCAACCAUGAACUAAACCUCUGACUAAACCUCUGGAACCAUGAGCCAAAAUAAUCUUUUUUUUCCCUCUAAGUUAUUCUUUUUGGAUAUUUUGGUCACAUUGACACAAAACUGGACUAACACACUUAACUUCUCCUCAACUAUAAUAUAUACAUGCCUAUAAUACUCAUGGUUCUCUAGAAGAACAGAAUCAACAGGACACACACACACACACACACACACACACACACACACACACACACGGAUAGCCAUAGGAACCAGUAGCUGUUCAGUCCAAGGAGCUGGAGCUUCAGAACAAGAGGGGCCAAAGAUACAGUCCUUGUCUAAGGUGGAAGGAGGCCUGGAAACUUUCUGGAGAAUCACUGGUGCAGUUCUGCUUGAGAGAAGAGAAGGAGCUGGAUUCCUCAGAUGAUUGCAGUAGAUAGAAGUCCUGCUGAAUAAGAAAGGAGCUUUUGUCUGUGUUAGCUUGCUCCUUGCUCCAGCCCAUAGGACUGUGCUGCCCACAUUCAGGGCAGUUUCCCCCCUAAAUUUGCUGUUCCACAUGUCAGUCAUUUCUGGAAACUCCCUCAUUGAUACACCCAGAAGUCUCUUAAUCCUAGGCAUCUCUUCAUCCAAUCAAGUUGACCAUCCAGAGUGUCUUUCACAGAGUUUUAUUCAGCUCCCGCUUUUAUAUCAGCUUCAGUGAUACUUUUUAACUUCAAGGACAGAGAAUUCUUUUUAUUUUAAGGAAAUUGUCUUGUUUUCCUCUUGCUGACAUUCCUUACCAAGGUUUAGAGACAUUAAGCCAAGAUUAAGUCUCAAGCAAUUAUAAAAUGACUUUAUGAAUCAAAUCCUCUUGUUACUACAUAAUACUCUUAUUUCUUAUUUGUAAGAAAAACUAUUGGAAGCAGAAAAAAACGGUUCCGUUGAAAUAUUCUCCUUAAACAGAUAUUUUAGCAGAGUUUAUCUAUUUUUUCCCCUCAAUGUAGAAAAAAAAAUAUUGUGCAUUGCCACAAAAGCAUUCUUAUAAUCAUUCCAACUUCAUUAUUGGUUUGGAUUUUAUGAUAUCAAUCCUGUUAUGCAAUCUAAUCUCUGAGAAUUUAGAGACUUCACUCAUCUCAGUUUCAAUUUUCAGCUUUUGUUUCUUGUUUUAAACUAAUUCUCAAGGUAUCAUUUUUUUAGAACACAGCAAGUGGAGGCCAUCAGAUAAUUACACAUUUCCCUGCGGUGACACCAUAUUUUGUUAAACUCUUGUUUGCUUUCCCUGUAGCUGAUGGUCUUCUCUACUGAGAUUUCUGCUCUUUAAACAUGUGUCACUAGAUAAAUCCAUUAUUUAGCCAAAAUGUUUAAUUUGGAAAGUUCAAAAUACUUAUGAAUAUAUUAGAGGCCCUUAUCAUUUAUUUUUAUCAUUCAUCAAAGCUAACCCUUAGAGUAUGUAAGAAAUUUUAUUGUAUUCUAUACCACUGCUAUUUAUUUUAUAACAAACCACUUUACAAAAGUAAUGAGUGGUUGCAAUUAAAUGGGGGAAGUAUUAAUAAGAAAAGGUAAUAUUCAUUAAACAUUACAUGGUGAGCAUUUGGUAUUGACUCACGAUAUUUCCACAACAGCCCUAAUCAUUUUAUAGUUAAAGAAGCAAAGAUUCAAGCUUCGCCUAAGACCACACAGCUAGGAAGUAACUGGGCAGGGGAUUAGGGUCAGUCUUGAAUGAGAUUUCUUUACUAAUGAACUAAACCAGUGAUUCUCAAAUUUGGGAAACUUUCUUCUUUAAACAGAGAGUGAUAUCAUGAUUUCUGGAAAAUGAAAAACAAAAAAACAAAAAACAACAACUUCCUGAUUUUAGAGUGUUGUCCCAAACAACGUCUAUGACGUCUAUGUAUAUAUCAUUGGAAAUCUUUGGCAGUGUGGAAAUUAAGAAACAGGUCUGUAUCAUGAAUGUGCAUAAAAUUCCCAUCCUUCAACCAUUAGAGAAGGAGGGAAAGAAAACUUAUGAAGGGCAGGGAGGGAAGUGAAAUUAAGGUUAAAGAAUGGUUAUCUAUCUCACCCUCCCACCAUCACACUGCCUUCCUUUGUCCAUCCAUUUUCAGUCAGAUAUAGUAGUAUAUUUACAUAAUCAUUUGGAUUGCUAUAUUUCUAGAAUGUACUUCCGUGCAGAAUUUCUCCUGUAUAAACAAUUUUCCCUGGUGAAGAUUGAUGCAUGACUCGUUUUCUUGCAGAAAAGACCUGUGGUUGCAAAUUUGUUCAGGAUAGAUUGGCAGCUCAGAAAAUGAAUGAAACAUGUUCUGUCUUCUUAGGCAACAAAUUGAUCCCAGGCUUCACUAAAGAUAUGCCCAUACAAGAACUGCCACAUGUAUCUAAACAAUGUCCUAACUCAAAUCUCUAAGUCUGGAAGUGAGUCUUCUCGUCUUCUUUAGGAUAAGCAGAGACCCAUCAGGUAUUCCUGAGAAUUGACAAGAUUCAGAAGUGGGUAUUGUCAUAGAUAGAUAGAUAGAUAGAUAGAUAGAUAGAUAGAUAGAUAGAUAGAUAGAUAGAUAGAAAUAAAUAAAUAGAUAGAUAUAUAGAUAAGUAUGUAUGUCAUUGACCUCAUCACCAGUGUUUAAGUUAAGAGUUCAGGACUGUAUCAUGAUUUUGUGUAUCAAAAUUUUGUCUCAUCUUCAUCUAGAUUCCUCACAUUUAAGUUUAGUAGCACUUAUAGCAAAGCUCAUCCUUCAAACAUUAAAAAAGGAGAAGGAAUAAAAGACACGAAAGGUGGGGAGAGAGGCAAAGAUAAAAUUGUGUCGUAACAUUCUUUUAACAAUUGAUUAAAUGGUUAUGCUAUUUCAUAUGUACAUGUAGAUUAUGUAGAUAGAACCACAAAUACAAGAGGCAGUACCUUGAAGACAAAGGGAAGAUUAUGUUUCCCCAAAUUGGAUGUGCUUCAACUGUGUACAGAGGUUCUGGCUGCAACCUUCAGUCCCUUAACUCUUAGUCUGAGGCCACAUCAUAUUCUGCUGUCACUGUUGUCUUCCGUCAGUCAGGCUGCGGAUGUCACAUUCUCAUCAGCUUCAUUUUACAAUAUGGGACAUGCAUAAGAGAAAACCUGGGCAUUGUGAAGAGGGUUAUGAGCGGAGAAUAUUUGGAAAAGCAAAUUUUGAGACUAAGACUUGGCAAUAUCCAGGACAUAACUAAAUAUACAUAAGUGUUUGGAUUUUAUUAUUAUAUUUAUUUACACUUUUUUUCCUACCAUGACAACUUCCAGAUAAUAUUUUCUGACUGAGAGUUGGUGACUUCCACAGAAGUGACAUUAUUCAUUAAUGACUCAAUGUUCAAAAAGGUAGGGAAAUUUGCAAAAAGUGAUUUUUGCUGGAGGAUGUCGUAAAUGUGAUGCUAAAUCAGAUAGUGUGAAAGGAGACCCUCACUGGUUCACAGUGAUGUAUAUUUGGUCUUUUCAUGCAUUCAUUGAUUUGUGAAGUAGAAAAAAAAUCCAUACUGGACAUGUUUGAAAUUGCUCUGUGUGAAUUGAGAAUUGUGUUGUGACAUUCUGUUUACAAUCGAUUUAUCUGAAUAUGCUAUUUAACAUAGACAUGCAAAAAUUAUAUAAAAUACCAUCUUCAUAUAUAAAUGUAUGUGCAAGGAAGGAAAAUUCUUCAGAGGAUUAAAACACUGUUUGGAAUUCUGCCAAAGUCGAAGAGGUUGCUGUCUUAUGCAAAUUAAGAGACAUAAAGCAGAGUAUUUACUGAGCAGAUUCAUUUGGUUUGUGUAAUCAAAUAUUGGAGCAGAUUAUCUAUGUGGGUAAGACUUGUGACUUGAAAUUAAACUAUAACUUUCAACUUUUCAUCCAUGAAUGAUGUUGAAAUGAGGUAGGGAAAAUUAGAUGAAGUAAAUAUUCUAUUGCAUCUAUAUACUGUAA